GCUUGUCUCAAAGAUUAAGCCAUGCAUGUCUUAGUGUAAAUAACUCUUAUGAAACUGCGAAUGGCUCAUUACAUCAGUUAUAGUUUAUUUGAUGGUCCUUGCUACUUGGAUAACCGUAGUAAUUCUAGAGCUAAUACAUGCAUAAAACCCUAACUUCUGGAAAGGGUGUAUUUAUUAGAUUGAAACCGAUGCGGGGUAACCCGGAUUUUGGUGAUUCAUAAUAACUUUCGGAGCGAGUAAUCGCUGCAUCAUUCAAGUUUCUGCCCUAUCAGCUUUGGAUGGUAGGGUAUUGGCCUACCAUGGCUUUAACGGGUAACGGAGAAUUAGGGUUCGAUUCCGGAGAGGGAGCCUGAGAAAUGGCUACCACAUCCAAGGAAGGCAGCAGG
This 386-nucleotide ribosomal RNA is filed under the name uncultured Chrysophyceae. RNAcentral's name for it is "partial small subunit ribosomal RNA". It matches the Rfam family "Eukaryotic small subunit ribosomal RNA", at positions 30 to 432 of the family's 1831-position model. Lineage: Eukaryota; Chrysophyceae. The record is from RNAcentral.